ACCUCGGUUAGAAAGCUUUGUUUUAAUUUGUUAAGACGAUGCUGAUAUAUCCUGAAUCAUGAUUAAAUUAAAAUCCUUAAGUUAAAGUCAUUACAAAAACCACUUUUGAAUAUUGAUCAGAUAUUGGUCCCAUGCCCAAAACGAUGGUGCAAAAUGUCUAAAGAGUGAUAAGCUAGCAAUUACUAGAUAUAUACUAAAAGAAAUAGUUUCAGUUCCAAGCAUGAGCACUAGUCAUAGUUGAGGCUCACAAAUUUCUUGCAAAUCAUCUUCGAGUUUUCCACGUCCAGAGAUGGUCUCCUUCCUCCUGAUACACACACAAACAACUAAGUAUCUUCCAUCGUCUAAAAAUAAACAAAAGCAUACGUAAUUACCCAUUUCCUCCACCUUCUUAUUUAUAAUCAAGUUGAACAAUUUUCAAAUCAUCCAAGACACAAUCAUUUAUUAAAUAUUGAUAUAUGCAAUGACAAAAUAUCCAAAAGUAUUGACUUCAAUGACAUUCAAUUUUUGCUAUUUUU
This 515-nucleotide small RNA is filed under the name Arabidopsis thaliana (thale cress). RNAcentral describes it as "ATSL132380". Lineage: Eukaryota; Viridiplantae; Streptophyta; Magnoliopsida; Brassicales; Brassicaceae. The record is from RNAcentral.